This 273-nucleotide ribosomal RNA is filed under the name uncultured bacterium. Its description in RNAcentral is "partial 16S ribosomal RNA". It matches the Rfam family "Bacterial small subunit ribosomal RNA", at positions 28 to 300 of the family's 1533-position model. The record is from RNAcentral.
GACGAACGCUGGCGGCGUGCUUAACACAUGCAAGUCGAGCGGUAAGGCCCUUUCGGGGGGUACACGAGCGGCGAACGGGUGAGUAACACGUGGGUGACCUGCCCUCAGCUCUGGGAUAAGCCUGGGAAACCGGGUCUAAUACCUGGAUAUGACUCCAUGACGCAUGUUGUGGGGUGGAAAGCCUUGUGCGGCUGAGGAUGGGCCCGCGGCCUAUCAGCUUGUUGGUGGGGUGANGGCCUACCAAGGCGACGACGGGUAGCCGGCCUGAGAGGG